RNAcentral lists this long non-coding RNA (708 nucleotides) under Macaca fascicularis (crab-eating macaque). RNAcentral's name for it is "lncRNA (ENSMFAG00000059920.1)". The record is from RNAcentral. Lineage: Eukaryota; Metazoa; Chordata; Mammalia; Primates; Cercopithecidae.
CCAGCGUGUCACUGCUAUCUCCAGACCCACUUACCUAAAAGUUCACUAAGUCCAGCAGCCCAGGGCAACCUCUGGUGGAAGACAGAAGGCAGGUCCAGGAAGGUGGGAGGAGCCAGAGAAGGGGAGCCAAUCAGUGGCCAGAAAGGGGGGGGCGGAACCAGAGAAAGGGAGCCAAUCAGUGGCCAGGAAGGUGGGAGGAGGCGCCACUCAGUGGCCUGAAAGGAGGAAGAGGAGCCAGAGAGGGAGAACCAAUCAGGAAAAGAGGAUGCAGCAGGCUGGGAUUCUUCUUGCAAGGGAAACUGAAGCUUUAGUCUGGGCAGGCAGCGAGCUGGACUGGUAUCGGAGGAAAAGAAGUCUCUACUUUGGCCGCUGCUGUUUGAGUGUGUCUCCCAGCACCAUAAGGCACAGCCAGAUGGGCUGCCGUUGGUUGCAAGCCUGGAAGAGUCAGAAAGAAACCUGAGGCUGUCAAGGAAGCUUGAAGGUGGGUCUUCAACUCUGGGCCCAGAAGGAGCAUCACCUCCACCUGGCCUUGUCUGGUUCAUCUACAGCCUGCAGGAAGAGAGGGGGAGGGGGGAGAGGGGGAAAGGGAGAGAGGAAGAGAGGGGAGAGGAAGACAGGGGAGAGGAAGAGAGAGAGAGGGAGAGGGACAGAGGGAGAGAGGGAGAGGAAGAGAGGAGGGAGGGAGGGAGAGAGAGAGAGAGAGAGAGA